Molecule: non-coding RNA, 1916 nt
Organism: Lonchura striata (white-rumped munia)
Lineage: Eukaryota; Metazoa; Chordata; Aves; Passeriformes; Estrildidae
Source: RefSeq, a predicted model, not a curated record
GGCGGCUGUGCCUGAGGUGGCGCUCGGGGCCCCGCUGGCGGCCGGUGGCCCCGGGCUUCAGCAGAACCUCCGUGACCUUGACGAUGGUUCGGCUGAAUGCUCCGCGCCAGAACCCGACAUCCCUCGCAGCAGGCUCCUGGGCAUUUUCAUCUGCCCCUGAUACGAACGAAUCUUUUUGCAGUGGGUUUUCACACGAAAAAAAAAAAAAUCAGUGCACCUUAGCUGAACGUGCCCUGGAGAUCUAAUUUCUUGGCAAUAAUUUUUUAUUCUUCUUUGAAGAUGAUCCAAAGUAGUAUCUUCUAUUAUCAUCUCCAGCCUGUCUUUGGAGAAACAUCUUAGCGUUGGCAGUAAGGAAGCAUUUGUGUGGAUGGAUGAAUGAAUGAACCUUGUAAAGCCCUCUGAGCCAUUUUGAACUGUUAGAACAAAUGUGGUCUUUUCACCUUCAGUGUUUGUGAAAGUUGUUUAUACAUGUGUAGAAGUUCAUAUGGUGGAGCUGUCAAAAACAGUGCCUAGAGACACCCAUGAUUGAGGCAGAUUCACUUUAUCAGCUCACCCUGGAGUCUUACGAGGGUCAGCUCUGGUUCUGUAGCUUGUGUUCUUACUCAAACCCUUCUGUAACAGCUGGGUUUGAAAAACUUCAAGGAACAACUAAUAACAGCCCUGUCUUCUCUUUCUGUCUAAAGUUUCCAGAGCAAGUAUGAUGAGAAACUUAUCCUUUGGCCACAAUUUCUUGAAAACUAUGCUGAGCUCACUGAAGAUGCCAUGAAGAGAUGAAAACUUGAAAUUGUGCUAGCUGUUCAUCAUGUACUGUGUUCUCUCCAGUCUGCAGUGUGUAUGAAAAAAGACACCUUUGCUUCCAUGGAGUGGCAAAAUAGAGUAAUUUAGCCAAUAGGAAUGUUGCUUCAGCAUUCAAAACUUGUUACACUGUUAAAAAGAAAUUACUGUUGUUUUUAUUCUCCUAAAAUAUGGCAUUUUAACAGUAUAGAUUCACUGUUACACUUUUUCAUUUCAGCAAUCACAUAGUUUGCUUUUUCAUAUGUCCUUGGCAUCUAUUUUAAUCAUGUGAAUAACAAAGGACUAACAAGAUCUUUUUCUGUAAGUUACGUAAAGUAUAUUCCACCAUGAAAGGUAAAAGAAAAAAUUACUUAAUGGGGCAUUGUAUUUCUGUGACUGUCCUAUUAUAGAGAAAAUUUAUUUAAUUAUUUUAACUAUAUUGUUAAUGAAUUCAAAAUAAGUCUUGGAAAUGAAGAAUUAGUAUUGUUUAAAUAUUUGGAAUUCUUGAGUGGAUUCUGCUUCUGAUGUUGCUUUCUUCCUCCUUCUUACUACUCAUUUCUAUUAUUAGUUUUUCAGAACAAAUCCUGAUUGCCAUCCCAUGUUUGCAUCUGUCAUGGCUUUCAGUGACUCUAUCAGUAACAUUUGGGCAGUAAAGCCCUUGCAGUUGUUUGCAGCUGAGUUGCUAAUUAUAUUUUUGUUACCUGGGAAGACAGCGGAUCUACAAUAUUCUCAGUUUUGCUAUUUCCCAUGACUAACAAGUGGGACAAGUACAUAAAAUCUCAACUUCCAAUGGCUAACAAGUGGGACAAGUACAUAAAAUCUCAACUUCCCAUGGCUAACAAGUGGGACAAAUACAUAAAAUUUCAAAGAGUCAAAGUAGAUUGAUUGAAUAAUUUAUUCAAUAGCCAUAUGGGUGAAUAGAAGUUGUGACAGGUAUUUUGUUGUCAUUUUAUACUUUGUGGGGCUACUUUGAGUAUCUCAUCCUAGAUUCAUUAAGCAAUCUCUGUUUAGCAGUAUUUGUCCUGUCAAAACAGAUUAAAAAAUUCCCCAGUAGUCAGAAACCUCGCAGAAACAGGAAAAUAGGUCUUUCUUCAUUUUAUGUGAAAUAAUAAAUCUGUUUCUGAUUUUCAAGCAGAAGAAAA